UACAGAGGUCUCAAGCGUUGUUCGGAUUCAUUGGGCGUAAAGGGUGCGUAGGUGGCGCCGUAAGUCAGGUGUGAAAUUUCGGAGCUCAACUCCGAAACUGCAUUUGAUACUGAGGAUCUUGAGUCCGGGAGAGGUGAGUGGAACUGCGAGUGUAGAGGUGAAAUUCGUAGAUAUUCGCAAGAACACCAGUGGCGAAGGCGGCUCACUGGCCCGGUACUGACGCUGAGGCACGAAAGCGUGGGGAGCAAACAGG
This 253-nucleotide ribosomal RNA is filed under the name uncultured bacterium. Its description in RNAcentral is "partial 16S ribosomal RNA". It matches the Rfam family "Bacterial small subunit ribosomal RNA", at positions 524 to 776 of the family's 1533-position model. The record is from RNAcentral.